UACGAAGGGGGCUAGCGUUGUUCGGACUUACGGGGCGUAAAGCGCACGCAGGUGGCUUUAUAAGUCAGGGGUGAAAUCCCGGGGCUCAACCUCGGAAUUGCCUUUGAUACUGUCUAUCUUGAGUCCGGGAGAGGUGAGUGGAAUUCCUAGUGUAGAGGUGAAAUUCGUAGAUAUUAGGAAGAACACCAGUGGCGAUGGCGGCGCACUGGCCCGGUACUGACGCUCACGGGUGAAAGCGUGUGGAGCAAACAGG
Molecule: ribosomal RNA, 253 nt
Filed under: uncultured bacterium
Lineage: Bacteria
Description: partial 16S ribosomal RNA
Rfam family: Bacterial small subunit ribosomal RNA
Source: RNAcentral